This 521-nucleotide ribosomal RNA is filed under the name uncultured Diversispora. RNAcentral's name for it is "SSU rRNA". It matches the Rfam family "Eukaryotic small subunit ribosomal RNA", at positions 572 to 1092 of the family's 1831-position model. Lineage: Eukaryota; Fungi; Glomeromycota; Glomeromycetes; Diversisporales; Diversisporaceae. The record is from RNAcentral.
AGCCGCGGUAAUUCCAGCUCCAAUAGCGUAUAUUAAAGUUGUUGCAGUUAAAAAGCUCGUAGUUGAACUUCGGGGUCUACCCAUUGGUCAGGCUUAAUUGUCUGCACUGGUGAGAUGGAUCUCUACCUUCUGAGGAACUUUCAUGCCAUUUAUUUGGUGUGAUGGGAAAUCAGGACUGUUACUUUGAAAAAAUUAGAGUGUUUAAAGCAGACUAUCGUCUGAAUACAUUAGCAUGGAAUAAUGAAAUAGGACGGACUGAUUCUAUUUCGUUGGUUUCUAGGAUCACCGUAAUGAUUAAUAGGGAUAGUUGGGGGCAUUAGUAUUCAAUUGUCAGAGGUGAAAUUCUUGGAUUUAUUGAAGACUAACUACUGCGAAAGCAUUUGCCAAGGAUGUUUUCAUUAAUCAAGAACGAAAGUUAGGGGAUCGAAGACGAUCAGAUACCGUCGUAGUCUUAACCAUAAACUAUGCCGACUAGGGAUCGGACGAAGUUAAUUUUAUAAUGACGCGUUCGGCACCUUACG